UACGUAGCAGCAAGCGUUGUUCGGAGUUACUGGGCGUAAAGGGUGCGUAGGCGGCUUUUUAAGUUUGGUGUGAAAUCUCCCGGCUCAACUGGGAGGGUGCGCCGAAUACUGAGAGGCUAGAGUGUGGGGAGAGGAAAGUGGAAUUCCUGGUGUAGCGGUGAAAUGCGUAGAUAUCAGGAGGAACACCGGUGGUGUAAACGGCUUUCUGGACCAUAACUGACGCUGAUGCACGAAAGCGUGGGUAGCAAACAGG
This 253-nucleotide ribosomal RNA is filed under the name uncultured bacterium. RNAcentral describes it as "partial 16S ribosomal RNA". It matches the Rfam family "Bacterial small subunit ribosomal RNA", at positions 524 to 776 of the family's 1533-position model. The record is from RNAcentral.